RNAcentral lists this ribosomal RNA (1537 nucleotides) under uncultured prokaryote. RNAcentral describes it as "partial 16S ribosomal RNA". It matches the Rfam family "Bacterial small subunit ribosomal RNA". The record is from RNAcentral.
CGAUUAGAGUUUGAUCCUGGCUCAGAUUGAACGCUGGCGGCAGGCCUAACACAUGCAAGUCGAGCGGUAACAGAUCUAGCUUGCUAGAUGCUGAAGAGCGGCGGACUGGUGAGUAACGCGUAGGAAUUUGCCUAGUAGUGGGGGAACCAUUGGAAACGAUGGCUAAUACCGCAUACGCCCUACGGGGGAAAGAAGGGGACUCUACGGAGCCUUUCGCGAUUGGAUGUGCCCAAGUGGGAUUAGCUAGUUGGUGAGGUAAAGGCUCACCAAGGCAACGAUCCCUAGCUGGUUUGAGAGGAUGAUCAGCCACACUGGAACUGAGACACGGUCCAGACUCCUACUGGAGGCAGCAGUGGGGAAUAUUGCACAAUGGGCGCAAGCCUGAUGCAGCCAUGCCGCGUGUAUGAAGAAGGCCUUCGGGUUGUAAAGUACUUUCAGCGAGGAGGAAAGGGUGUAGGUUAAUAACCAUUAGGAUUGACGUUACCUGCAGAAUAAGCACCGGCUAACUCCGUGCCAGCAGUCGCGGUAAUACGGAGGGUGCAAGCGUUAAUCGGAAUUACUGGGCGUAAAGCGCGCGUAGGCGGUAUUGUAAGUGGGAUGUGAAAGCCCCGGGCUUAACCUGGGAACUGCAUUCCAAACUGCAAAACUAGAGUAUGGUAGAGGAUGGUAGAAUUUCAGGUGUAGCGGUGAAAUGCGUAGAGAUCUGAAGGAAUACCAGUGGCGAAGGCGGCCUUCUGGACAGAUACUGACACUCAGAUGCGAAAGCGUGGGUAGCAAACAGGAUUAGAUACCCUGGUAGUCCACGCUGUAAACGAUGUCUACUUGGAGGUUGUGGCCUUGAGCCGUGGCUUUCGGAGCUAACGCGUUAAGUAGACCGCCUGGGGAGUACGGUCGCAAGAUUAAAACUCAAAUGAAUUGACGGGGGCCCGCACAAGCGGUGGAGCAUGUGGUUUAAUUCGAUGCAACGCGAAGAACCUUACCUACUCUUGACAUCCAGAGAACUUAGCAGAGAUGCUUUGGUGCCUUCGGGAACUCUGAGACAGGUGCUGCAUGGCUGUCGUCAGCUCGUGUUGUGAAAUGUUGGGUUAAGUCCCGCAACGAGCGCAACCCUUAUCCUUAUUUGCCAGCACUUCGGGUGGGAACUUUAAGGAGACUGCCGGUGAUAAACCGGAGGAAGGUGGGGAUGACGUCAAGUCCUCAUGGCCCUUAUGGGUAGGGCUUCACACGUAAUACAAUGGCGCGUACAGAGGGUUGCCAACCCGCAAGGGGGAGCUAAUCUCAGAAAGCGCGUCGUAGUCCGGAUUGCACUCUGCAACUCGAGUGCAUGAAGUCGGAAUCGCUAGUAAUCGCGGAUCAGAAUGUCGCGGUGAAUACGUUCCCGGGUCUUGUACACACCGCCCGUCACACCAUGGGAGUGGACUCUGCCAGAAGUAGGUAGCCUAACCGUAAGGAGGGCGCUUACCACGGUGGGUUUCAUGACUGGGGUGAAGUCGUAACAAGGUAGCCGUAGCGGAAGCUGCGGCUGGAUCACCUCCUA